UUGACCUCGGAUCAGGUAGGGAUACCCGCUGAACUUAAGCAUAUCAAUAAGCGGAGGAAAAGAAACCAACCGGGAUUGCCUCAGUAACGGCGAGUGAAGCGGCAAGAGCUCAAAUUUGAAAGCUGGCUCCUUCGGAGUCCGCAUUGUAAUUUGCAGAGGAUGCUUUGGGUGCGGCCCCCGUCUAAGUGCCCUGGAACGGGCCGUCAGAGAGGGUGAGAAUCCCGUCUUGGGCGGGGUGUCCGUGCCCGUGUAAAGCUCCUUCGACGAGUCGAGUUGUUUGGGAAUGCAGCUCUAAAUGGGUGGUAAAUUUCAUCUAAAGCUAAAUACUGGCCGGAGACCGAUAGCGCACAAGUAGAGUGAUCGAAAGAUGAAAAGCACUUUGAAAAGAGAGUUAAACAGCACGUGAAAUUGUUGAAAGGGAAGCGCUUGCGACCAGACUCGCCCGCGGGGUUCAGCCGGCAUUCGUGCCGGUGUACUUCCCCGUGGGCGGGCCAGCGUCGGUUUGGGCGGCCGGUCAAAGGCCCCUGGAAUGUAGUACCCUCCGGGGUACCUUAUAGCCAGGGGUGCAAUGCGGCCAGCCUGGACCGAGGAACGCGCUUCGGCACGGACGC
RNAcentral lists this ribosomal RNA (611 nucleotides) under Aspergillus tubingensis. Its description in RNAcentral is "partial 28S ribosomal RNA". It matches the Rfam family "Eukaryotic large subunit ribosomal RNA", at positions 1 to 626 of the family's 3401-position model. RNAcentral also lists the same sequence under 1 other name. The record is from RNAcentral. Lineage: Eukaryota; Fungi; Ascomycota; Eurotiomycetes; Eurotiales; Aspergillaceae.